CCUACCGAUUGAAUGAUCCGAUGAAAUGCUUGGACUGCUCGACUGCAGCUGCGCAAGCGGCAGUGGUUGGGUGGGAAGAGUAGUAAAUCUUAUCAUUUAGAGGAAGGAGAAGUCGUAACAAGGUU
RNAcentral lists this ribosomal RNA (125 nucleotides) under Paratrimastix pyriformis. RNAcentral's name for it is "partial small subunit ribosomal RNA". It matches the Rfam family "Eukaryotic small subunit ribosomal RNA", at positions 1681 to 1801 of the family's 1831-position model. The record is from RNAcentral. Lineage: Eukaryota; Preaxostyla; Paratrimastigidae.